RNAcentral lists this ribosomal RNA (401 nucleotides) under uncultured bacterium. RNAcentral describes it as "bacterial SSU rRNA". It matches the Rfam family "Bacterial small subunit ribosomal RNA", at positions 30 to 433 of the family's 1533-position model. The record is from RNAcentral.
AUUGAACGCUGGCGGCAUGCCUUACACAUGCAAGUCGAGCGGCAGCACGGGAGCAAUCCUGGUGGCGAGUGGCGAACGGGUGAGUAAUGUAUCGGAACGUACCUUUCAGUGGGGGAUAACGUAGCGAAAGGUACGCUAAUACCGCAUAUUCUGUGAGCAGGAAAGCAGGGGAUCGCAAGACCUUGCGCUGAUUGAGCGGCCGAUAUCAGAUUAGCUAGUUGGUGAGGUAAAGGCUCACCAAGGCGACGAUCUGUAGCGGGUCUGAGAGGAUGAUCCGCCACACUGGAACUGAGACACGGUCCAGACUCCUACGGGAGGCAGCAGUGGGGAAUUUUGGACAAUGGGCGCAAGCCUGAUCCAGCCAUGCCGCGUGAGUGAAGAAGGCCUCGGUUGUAAGACGU